UUUAAUUGAAGAGUUUGAUCAUGGCUCAGAUUAAACGCUGGCGGCAGGCCUAACACAUGCAAGUCGAGCGGCAGCGGAAGGAAGCUUUCUUCCUUGCCGGCGAGCGGCGGACGGGUGAGUAAGGUAUGGGGAUCUGGCCGAAGGCGGGGGAUAACCACUGGAAACGGUGGCUAAUACCGCAUAAUCUCUAAGGAGCAAAGCGGGGGACCAUUCUGGCCUCACACCUUCGGAUGAA
This 235-nucleotide ribosomal RNA is filed under the name Arsenophonus endosymbiont of Bemisia tabaci Asia II 3. RNAcentral describes it as "partial 16S ribosomal RNA". It matches the Rfam family "Bacterial small subunit ribosomal RNA", at positions 1 to 229 of the family's 1533-position model. The record is from RNAcentral. Lineage: Bacteria; Pseudomonadati; Pseudomonadota; Gammaproteobacteria; Enterobacterales; Morganellaceae.